RNAcentral lists this ribosomal RNA (466 nucleotides) under uncultured bacterium. RNAcentral's name for it is "partial 16S ribosomal RNA". It matches the Rfam family "Bacterial small subunit ribosomal RNA", at positions 28 to 507 of the family's 1533-position model. The record is from RNAcentral.
GAUGAACGCUGGCGGCGUGCUUAACACAUGCAAGUCGAACGGAAAGGCUCCUGCUUGCAGGGGUACUCGAGUGGCGAACGGGUGAGUAACACGUGGGUGAUCUGCCCUGCACUUCAGGAUAAGCCUGGGAAACUGGGUCUAAUACCGGAUAGGACGAUGGUUUGGAUGCCAUUGUGGAAAGUUUUUUCGGUGUGGGAUGAGCUCGCGGCCUAUCAGCUUGUUGGUGGGGUAAUGGCCUACCAAGGCGUUGACGGGUAGCCGGCCUGAGAGGGUGUACGGCCACAUUGGGACUGAGAUACGGCCCAGACUCCUACGGGAGGCAGCAGUGGGGAAUAUUGCACAAUGGGCGGAAGCCUGAUGCAGCGACGCCGCGUGGGGGAUGACGGCCUUCGGGUUGUAAACUGCUUUCGCUAGGGACGAAGCGCAAGUGACGGUACCUGGAGAAGAAGCACCGGCUAACUACGUG